This is a long non-coding RNA of Ictidomys tridecemlineatus (thirteen-lined ground squirrel), 652 nucleotides long. RefSeq lists it as uncharacterized. NCBI's taxonomy places the organism in Eukaryota, Metazoa, Chordata, Mammalia, Rodentia, Sciuridae. The record is from RefSeq and is a predicted model, not a curated record.
CAAAAGGCCCUCGGCCCGGCCGCCCACCCAAUCCGCCUGUCCGCAGUCAGCACCCUGCUUCUGCCCAGGAGCCCUGCUGGGUGGCUCUGGCCCAUUUCAGGAUUUGAUCCGCACAACUACCUGGGCUGGGUGGCCCAGGAUCAGUCCCAUUUUACAGCACCUCAGGAAGGGCGCAUCCCCCAAGUCCUCUGGUGGCAGCUGCACAGGGACUUCCUUCCCGGCAGUGCAAACAGCGAAGCAAGGAAGACAGGUCAGGGGCAUAACUCUAUAUUGGACAAAUCCAGCAAAUGCCUCUGCAGCCCGGUGACCAAGGUGAGCAGCAGCGAUCGGUCACCUCGAUAACACAUACCUUUGAUAUGAUGCAAUGAGAAUGGCAUCUUACCUCUGUGGUCACCCUCCCAAGCCAGAACCCUGUCGGUGAGGAAAACAUGAGAAAAAUUCGCCAGAGGGGCAUUCUACAGAACACCUCGCUCACGCCCUGGAGACCACCAGGGCCAUCAGAAAAGUGCCAGGAAAGUCAGCCUGGCACUUGGUGGCCCACACCUGCAAUCCCAGUGAUGCAGGAGGCUGAGGCAGGAGGAUUGCAAGUGCAAGGUCAACCUGGGCAACGGAGCAAGACCCUGUCUCAAAAUAAAAUAGAAAAAGAGCUGUG